This 253-nucleotide ribosomal RNA is filed under the name uncultured bacterium. RNAcentral describes it as "partial 16S ribosomal RNA". It matches the Rfam family "Bacterial small subunit ribosomal RNA", at positions 524 to 776 of the family's 1533-position model. The record is from RNAcentral.
UACGUAGGGUGCAAGCGUUAAUCGGAAUUACUGGGCGUAAAGCGUGCGCAGGCGGUUUUGUAAGUCUGUCGUGAAAGCCCCGGGCUCAACCUGGGAAUUGCGAUGGAGACUGCAAGGCUUGAAUCUGGCAGAGGGGGGUAGAAUUCCACGUGUAGCAGUGAAAUGCGUAGAGAUGUGGAGGAAUACCGAUGGCGAAGGCAGCCCCCUGGGAUAACACUGACGCUCAUGCACGAAAGCGUGGGGAGCAAACAGG